CAGGGAGACAACAAAAUGUUUAAUAUUAUUUUGUCACCUUAGGUCGAUCGGUAUCUCACAUUCUUAAUUUAUUAAGGAUUUCAUAUCCUAAGUUUUUCUAGGUCACACCCAUUAUUUUUCCUGGGCCAUUAGCUCAGGUGGUUAGAGCGCACCCCUGAUAAGGGUGAGGUCCCUGGUUCAAGUCCAGGAUGGCCCAUAUCUCUAUGUUGGGGGUAUAGCUCAGUUGGUAGAGCGCCUGCUUUGCAAGCAGGAUGUCAGCGGUUCGAGUCCGCUUACCUCCACUGAUUACCACCUCUUCGAUAUUUUGAUGAAGGAAAUGUUUUGAGUUGUGAUCAAAUUCUGAACGAAUCUAGCUUCCUAAUAACAUUAUUAAGAUGCUGGACUCAUUGAAUUAAUUUCAUUGUUUUCAGAGAACCUUGACAACUGCAUAGAUUAUUUAUAAAGACAAUAAGCAUCUUUAAAGAUGCAGAUUUAUUAUUUGUGCUAAUGCAUCAAAUAACAAUUCUAUUAAGCUGAUGCUUCAGUUAUUGAAGUUAUU
Molecule: transfer RNA, 538 nt
Filed under: uncultured cyanobacterium
Lineage: Bacteria; Bacillati; Cyanobacteriota
Description: partial 16S-23S ribosomal RNA intergenic spacer
Rfam family: tRNA (bases 209-281)
Source: RNAcentral